GCUGGCCUCUCGGGGCACGUGCACACCUGAACCUUUAAAUCCACACUNCACCUGUGAACCCAAUGUAAGGGCCCGUAACAAGGCCCCUACGUCUUAUCACAAACCCUUUGCAUGUUUUCAUAGAAUGUUAUUUAUAUCUUCGCCUUAAAAAAGCGUUGGUAAACCUAUACAACUUUCAACAACGGAUCUCUUGGCUCUCGCAUCGAUGAAGAACGCAGCGAAAUGCGAUAAGUAAUGUGAAUUGCAGAUUUUCAGUGAAUCAUCGAAUCUUUGAACGCACCUUGCGCCCCUUGGUAUUCCGAGGGGCAUGCCUGUUUGAGUGUCAUUAAAUUCUCAACCCCUGGAUCUUUCUCGGGGCUUGGACUUGGAGUGUGCUGGCAUCUGGUCGGCUCCUCUCAAAUGCAUCGGCGGAAUUGAACCUUUGGUGUCCGUGCAUCAGUGUGAUAAUUAAUGUUGCGCUGUCGUCGGUCAUGGAAGUCCGCUUAUAAUGGUCUUCGGACAAACCCUUCAUCAAAUUUGACCUCAAAUCAGGUAGGACUACCCGCUGAACUUAAGCAUAUCAAUAAGCGGAGGAAAAGAAACUAACAAGGAUUCCCCUAGUAACUGCGAGUGAAGCGGGAAAAGCUCAAAUUUAAAAUCUGGCGGUCUGGUGGCCGUCCGAGUUGUAAUCUGGAGAAGCGUUUAUCCGCGUCG
Molecule: ribosomal RNA, 693 nt
Filed under: uncultured fungus
Lineage: Eukaryota; Fungi
Description: eukaryotic LSU rRNA
Rfam family: 5.8S ribosomal RNA (bases 171-325)
Source: RNAcentral